GCUUGCUUGGGUACUCGAGUGGCGAACGGGUGAGUAACACGUGGGUGAUCUGCCCUGCACUUCGGGAUAAGCCUGGGAAACUGGGUCUAAUACCGGAUAGGACGAUGGUUUGGAUGCCAUUGUGGAAAGUUUUUUCGGUGUGGGAUGAGCUCGCGGCCUAUCAGCUUGUUGGUGGGGUAAUGGCCUACCAAGGCGUCGACGGGUAGCCGGCCUGAGAGGGUGUACGGCCACAUUGGGACUGAGAUACGGCCCAGACUCCUACGGGAGGCAGCAGUGGGGAAUAUUGCACAAUGGGCGCAAGCCUGAUGCAGCGACGCCGCGUGGGGGAUGACGGCCUUCGGGUUGUAAACUCCUUUCGCUAGGGACGAAGCGUUUUUGUGACGGUACCUGGAGAAGAAGCACCGGCUAACUACGUGCCAGCAGCCGCGGUAAUACGUAGGGUGCGAGCGUUGUCCGGAAUUACUGGGCGUAAAGAGCUCGUAGGUGGUUUGUCGCGUCGUUUGUGUAAGCCCGCAGCUUAACUGCGGGACUGCA
This 534-nucleotide ribosomal RNA is filed under the name Corynebacterium mucifaciens. Its description in RNAcentral is "bacterial SSU rRNA". It matches the Rfam family "Bacterial small subunit ribosomal RNA", at positions 78 to 625 of the family's 1533-position model. The record is from RNAcentral. Lineage: Bacteria; Bacillati; Actinomycetota; Actinomycetes; Mycobacteriales; Corynebacteriaceae.